CCUACGGGGGGCUGCAGUGGGGAAUAUUGGACAAUGGGCGAAAGCCGGAUCCAGCCAUGCCGCGUGUGUGAAGAAGGCCUUCGGGUUGUAAAGCACUUUCAGUGGGGAAGAAAGCCUUGGGGCUAAUACCCUCGAGGAAGGACAUCACCCACAGAAGAAGCACCGGCUAACUCCGUGCCAGCAGCCGCGGUAAUACGGAGGGUGCGAGCGUUAAUCGGAAUUACUGGGCGUAAAGCGCGCGUAGGCGGUCUGAUAAGCCGGUUGUGAAAGCCCCGGGCUCAACCUGGGAACGGCAUCCGGAACUGUCAGGCUAGAGUGCAGGAGAGGAAGGUAGAAUUCCCGGUGUAGCGGUGAAAUGCGUAGAGAUCGGGAGGAAUACCAGUGGCGAAGGCGGCCUUCUGGACUGACACUGACGCUGAGGUGCGAAAGCGUGGGUAGCAAACAGGAUUAGAUACCCUGGUAGUC
This 465-nucleotide ribosomal RNA is filed under the name Vreelandella stevensii. RNAcentral describes it as "partial 16S ribosomal RNA". It matches the Rfam family "Bacterial small subunit ribosomal RNA", at positions 338 to 795 of the family's 1533-position model. The record is from RNAcentral. Lineage: Bacteria; Pseudomonadati; Pseudomonadota; Gammaproteobacteria; Oceanospirillales; Halomonadaceae.